This 431-nucleotide ribosomal RNA is filed under the name uncultured bacterium. RNAcentral describes it as "partial 16S ribosomal RNA". It matches the Rfam family "Bacterial small subunit ribosomal RNA", at positions 29 to 507 of the family's 1533-position model. The record is from RNAcentral.
AACGAACGCUGGCGGCAGGCUUAACACAUGCAAGUCGAACGCCCCGCCAGGGGAGUGGCAGACGGGAGAGUAACGCGUGGGAACAUACCCUUUCCUGCGGAAUAGCUCCGGGAAACUGGAAUUAAUACAGCAUACGCCCUACGGGGGAAAGAUUUAUCGGGGAAGGAUUGGCCCGCGUUGGAUUAGCUAGUUGGUGGGGUAAAGGCCUACCAAGGCGACGAUCCAUAGCUGGUCUGAGAGGAUGAUCAGCCACAUUGGGACUGAGACACGGCCCAAACUCCUACGGGAGGCAGCAGUGGGGAAUAUUGGACAAUGGGCGCAAGCCUGAUCCAGCCAUGCCGCGUGAGUGAUGAAGGCCUUAGGGUUGUAAAGCUCUUUCACCGAUGAAGAUAAUGACGGUAGUCGGAGAAGAAGCCCCGGCUAACUUCGUG